UAAUGACAUUUAUCAGUUUCAUCGACCGGGUGACCUAUAGCAGCAAGUUGAUCACAUAUGGUUUUAAAUUUUCGGCCAAACUCAGCAACAGAGGAAGAACCUUUUUGUAACAUGCGCAGAUUUAUUAUCACGUAAGAUAUGCAUACGGUUAGUGGAACAGUGACUAUAUGCUGUUUCCAAGGCAAGCCAGACCUGACGAGCAUUAGAGAUGCCAAUAAUUUCGGACAUGGCUUCCUCGGAGAGAGAGGACUGAAGAAGGAGACAUACCGAUUGAUCCUUGGUUAACCAUUCAGUACGAGCAGGGUUUGGGACAGGUUUAUCGGCCUCAAGAACAGUUUCGGGUGAUAUGGAAGUGGUUCCAUCAACAUGUCAAAUCAACUUUUGAAGAGUGAGAACGAGAGAGACUUGUUGGGACCAUGCUAGGUAGUUU
This 430-nucleotide long non-coding RNA is filed under the name Helianthus annuus (common sunflower). Its description in RNAcentral is "sRNA HanXRQr2_Chr13g0591611". Lineage: Eukaryota; Viridiplantae; Streptophyta; Magnoliopsida; Asterales; Asteraceae. The record is from RNAcentral.